RNAcentral lists this long non-coding RNA (490 nucleotides) under Salmo salar (Atlantic salmon). RNAcentral describes it as "lncRNA (ENSSSAG00000117661.1)". The record is from RNAcentral. Lineage: Eukaryota; Metazoa; Chordata; Actinopteri; Salmoniformes; Salmonidae.
GAGAAACUGAGAGACAGAAACAGAGAAAGGCAGAGAAACUGAGAGACAGAAACAAAGUGAGAGAGAGGCAGAGAAACUGAGAUAGAGAAACAUGGAGAGAGAGAGGCAGAGAAACUGAGAGAUAGAAACAUGGAGAGAGAGACAGAGAAACUGAGAGACAGAAACAUCGAGAGAGAGAGAGAGAGGCAGAGAAACUGAGACAGAAACAUGGAGAGAGAGAGGCAGAGAAACUGAGAGACAGAAACAUGGAGUCAGAGAGGCAGAGAAACUGAGAGACAGAACCAGGGAAAGAGAGAGGUAUAGAAAAAGAGAGACAGAAACAGGGAGAGAGAGAGGCAGAGAAACUGAGAGAGAAACAGGGAGAGAGAGGUUGAGAAACUGAGAGACAGAAACAUGUAGAGAGGCAGAGAAACUGAGUGACAGAAACAUGUAUAGAGAGAGGCAGAGAAACUGAGAGAGAAACAGGGACAGAGAGAUGCAAAGAAACUGA